Molecule: ribosomal RNA, 253 nt
Filed under: uncultured bacterium
Lineage: Bacteria
Description: partial 16S ribosomal RNA
Rfam family: Bacterial small subunit ribosomal RNA
Source: RNAcentral
UGCGUAGGGGGCAAGCGUUGUCCGGAAUCAUUGGGCGUAAAGAGCGUGUAGGCGGUCCGGUAAGUCGGCUGUGAAAGUCCAGGGCUCAACCCUGGGAUGCCGGUCGAUACUGCCGGACUAGAGUUCGGAAGAGGCGAGUGGAAUUCCCGGUGUAGCGGUGAAAUGCGCAGAUAUCGGGAGGAACACCUAUGGCGAAGGCAGCUCGCUGGGACGUUACUGACGCUGAGACGCGAAAGCGUGGGGAGCAAACAGG